This 60-nucleotide transfer RNA is filed under the name bovine gut metagenome. It matches the Rfam family "tRNA", at positions 8 to 63 of the family's 71-position model. Rfam says of the family: Transfer RNA (tRNA) molecules are approximately 80 nucleotides in length. Their secondary structure includes four short double-helical elements and three loops (D, anti-codon, and T loops). Further hydrogen bonds mediate the characteristic L-shaped molecular structure. tRNAs have two regions of fundamental functional importance: the anti-codon, which is responsible for specific mRNA codon recognition, and the 3' end, to which the tRNAs corresponding amino acid is attached (by aminoacyl-tRNA synthetases). tRNAs cope with the degeneracy of the genetic code in two manners: having more than one tRNA (with a specific anti-codon) for a particular amino acid; and 'wobble' base-pairing, i.e. permitting non-standard base-pairing at the 3rd anti-codon position. The record is from RNAcentral.
CAUUAGUAUAACGGUAGAACAUCGGGCUCUUAAUCCGUAAGGUCGGGGUUCAAAUCCCCG